AUCAAGGGUUUAGUGGUAGUUGAGUAUCUCCAGCUGAGUGACUAUUUGACAAAUAAGUGAAUUUGGGCUCAAGGGGUGAUUUAUCUGAAAAUCAGAUUUGUCUCUUAAGACAUGAAAUACUUUUAAUAGAGUGUAAUACAGUAACUUGAAUACAUCGUGUGCCUAGUUGGGGCCUAGAAUCUCUAAUUUGAUAGGCUUUAGACCCAAAGGUUGCACAACAUGCUUAGUGAUCAGUUGUAUAAGUUUACAACUUUAGUCAGUUCCCAGAAUGCAAGUUAACCCCAAGCAAGAUGGGUCACAUAAACAUAUAUUUCUCUUCCUUUUGACUCAGUUCUAGAAUGAGCUAAAUGGUUCUCUUUGUUUUUGCUCUUCCUUGAUCUGGGCCUUAAUAUAUGGCCAGUCUAUUACAUGGCAAAUGAUCUCUCCAUUGCUGCAUUUCAGAAAGAAGGGUUGGAUACAUCUCCGUUUCUUUUCUUCUAGGGGAGCUAGAAGUCACCCCACAUUCUCCGCCAUGGCCAGCUCUACAUUCUAAGAGGAAAACAAGUCCAUAGAAUGACUUGAAUU
Molecule: long non-coding RNA, 564 nt
Filed under: Homo sapiens (human)
Lineage: Eukaryota; Metazoa; Chordata; Mammalia; Primates; Hominidae
Description: HSALNT0077780
Source: RNAcentral